UUCCAGACUCCUACGGGAGGCAGCAGUAGGGAAUAUUGCUCAAUGGGGGAAACCCUGAAGCAGCAACGCCGCGUGGAGGAUGAAGGUUUUCGGAUUGUAAACUCCUUUUGUUAGAGAAGAUAAUGACGGUAUCUAACGAAUAAGCACCGGCUAACUCCGUGCCAGCAGCCGCGGUAAUACGGAGGAUGCGAGCGUUAUCCGAAUUUAUUGGUUUUAAAGGGUGCGCAGGCGGCCUGUUAAGUCAGCGAUAAAACCCCGGGCCUCAACCCCGGCGUGCCGUUGAAACUGGCGGGCUGGAGUUGGAGAGAAGUGCGCGGAAUGCGCGGUGUAGCUGUGAAAUGCUUAGAUAUCGCGCAGAACCCCGAUUGCGAAGGCAGCGUACCGGCUCCAC
RNAcentral lists this ribosomal RNA (391 nucleotides) under uncultured bacterium. RNAcentral describes it as "bacterial SSU rRNA". It matches the Rfam family "Bacterial small subunit ribosomal RNA", at positions 329 to 738 of the family's 1533-position model. The record is from RNAcentral.